UUUUAUUUUUUUUGGAAUGGGCUUUUUUCCCCCCUUGCAUCCGUGGUUUGGCUUUCACGGUUCAUUUUUCCCCUCAGGUCCUCCAUGUCAGCUUACUGCAACAGAAAGAAAAGAAGCAGCAUGGCAUCGUCAGAUGAGACGUAGACUACGAUGAUGACAACGCCCAGGACGAUGGAGACGAUACUGAGCAGACGAGCCAGUCGACCCAGCCUCCUGGCUCCGUCAAUAUCCCCCACCUGGAGACUGUUUCUGGACUGGAGAUUCACAAAAGAACACGGUAUUACCAAGAGGAACAUUUUAAUGAUAAUUUUGAGCAAGGCAUAGUAUAAGAUAUUACAUAAUAAUUGUAAACCAAACCAUACACAUAAGGGUAAAAAAGGGGUUAAUGAAUGUAUUUCAUUCCCCUCUGGUACAUUUUCAACUAACUGCUCAAAUCAAAGAUAAGGAAUGUUGUUAUAUUCUAGUUAGAGGGAUGAUAGAUCACAAAGAAGUUACUUUAUUUAAUGUAUAUAUUCCACUGGAAUGAUAGACAUCUGUAUGGAGGGACCUUCACUCUACUGAAAAGCAAUUUACUUAUUACCCCCCUUGCCAUGCAGAAUACUUCAGAUUAGAUUACUUUUUCAUGUCUAUUGCAGAUAUAUAAUUUAUAAAAGUAAUUGUGUGCACAUCCCACCUUCUGGCAGGUGCAAGACAAAUGAAAGUACUUA
Long non-coding RNA from Perca fluviatilis (European perch), 707 nucleotides. RefSeq lists it as uncharacterized. The record is from RefSeq and is a predicted model, not a curated record. The transcript is spliced from 2 exons. Lineage: Eukaryota; Metazoa; Chordata; Actinopteri; Perciformes; Percidae.